This is a long non-coding RNA of Erigeron canadensis, 141 nucleotides long. RefSeq lists it as uncharacterized. Lineage: Eukaryota; Viridiplantae; Streptophyta; Magnoliopsida; Asterales; Asteraceae. The transcript is spliced from 3 exons. The record is from RefSeq and is a predicted model, not a curated record.
AUCACCAAAUUGAUGAUGGGGUAUUCUGUUGUUGCUGGGCCUAUCAAACCAGGGAAAAAAGAUUAAUUGUAGGUUUUAACUGUAUCUCAAAUGAAGGGGAUGCAAUAUUUCUUGGCUAAAAGCUGGUAAGUACAACAUGAC